Molecule: ribosomal RNA, 433 nt
Filed under: uncultured bacterium
Lineage: Bacteria
Description: bacterial SSU rRNA
Rfam family: Bacterial small subunit ribosomal RNA
Source: RNAcentral
GCGAACGCUGGCGGCAGGCCUAACACAUGCAAGUCGAGCGCCCGUAGCAAUACGGGAGCGGCAGACGGGAGAGUAACACGUGGGAACGUACCCUUCAGUUCGGAACAACCCAGGGAAACUUGGGCUAAUACCGAAUACGUCCGUAAGGAGAAAGAUUUAUCGCUGAAGGAUCGGCCCGCGUCUGAUUAGCUAGUUGGUGAGGUAAUGGCUCACCAAGGCUACGAUCAGUAGCUGGUCUGAGAGGAUGAUCAGCCUCACUGGGACUGAGACACGGCCCAGACUCCUACGGGAGGCAGCAGUGGGGAAUAUUGGACAAUGGGCGCAAGCCUGAUCCAGCCAUGCCGCGUGGAUGAUGAAGGCCUUAGGGUUGUAAAGUCCUUUUAACGGGGAAGAUAAUGACGGUACCCGUAGAAUAAGCCCCGGCUAACUUCGU